CAUACAAAUUCAUCCAGACAAACAAGUGUAAAAAACCUUUUUUUUCCCAUUUCCCCCUUGAACUAUCCGUAAAUACCACCAUUCCACCAAACUCCCCUCUGUCUUCUACGACAAAUAAUCUUUUCAACCCAGUAACUUAUAAUUAAUUACAGAGAGAUUAGCAAACAUAUAAUGGUAAGAAUCAGUUGUCGUAGGUGCGGCACUCGUCGGUCUCCGGGUUGUCCUUGCAGUAGGCCUCGAGCGGGUCGGAGGUCUCCUUGAGCUUGUCGCGCGCGUGGCUCGCCGCCGCGCUCAGCUCCUCCACCUCGUCCCACGCCGCCGCGCACUCGCCGCUCGCCGUGUCCUCCGCGCACGCCUCCUUCGCCUUGUCGAUGCUCUCCGACAUCUUGUCCGAGAUGUCCGGCGGCGUCGCCGGCCCGCUCGCCCUCACCGCCGCGAACCCGCCGCGGCCAACACGGGGAAACACCACGCGUCCAGCUCCGGCGACCGGCCUAACGAGGGACGACGCCGCCGCCGCCGGGGUAGACAGGCCGACGUUGGUCAGCGUGGACGCCAUGGCUGGCUGUUGAUGCGGAUUUCUGCGUGUGAUGUGGGCGUUUGUAGCUGUUGCGACGAGGCGUUCGUUGCACGGAUUGAAGAGAUGGGGUUUAUAUAUAUAUAGCUCCGUGGGGUGGGGGAGAAGGGGAGAGAGGAUUCGACGACGUGCACUCGUUUCUUAUCGCCUCCUCAGCCAAUCGUCGUGUGCCACGUGGGCUGUAUUUUGAGAUAUUUCAUGCGAAAUGGGGACUUGGCAAAGGAGAUCUUUUUCUUUUCCCUUGGGUGAAUCUAAGGUGAGAGAAGCAGUUUUAAUUUGACCGUGAAAACAUGAGCAGAUGACUGUGGGUGUGUACAUGUAUGCAGAAGUUCAG
This 908-nucleotide long non-coding RNA is filed under the name Oryza sativa (Asian cultivated rice). RNAcentral describes it as "long non-coding RNA (OSAT_LNC000277)". Lineage: Eukaryota; Viridiplantae; Streptophyta; Magnoliopsida; Poales; Poaceae. The record is from RNAcentral.